UACGUUUCGUUUAAGAAUAUCGACAUGUAAAAGUAAAUAUGCUUAAACUUUAAGUUUAAGUAUGUUUUUGUUAUUUUAAAUAUGUCAUAAAUAUUAAUUCUUUAUUUUAAUCAAAAUAAAAGAUUGUUUACAGUUUUAUUAUUGCAAAAUAACAAAAUCAUUUACAUUAAACUUCCGACGUUGUAAUGUUGGCCCGACAUUAAUGAACCGUCAAUGUUGCUACGUAAACUUAUGUUGAAACAUUUUUUAAUUAAAAAAAAUAUUUAUUUAUUUUAAUUUUUAUUUAUUCAUUUUUAAUUAUUUAACCCUUAUGUAGAUUUUCAAAACUGUGGAAUAUAACUUAGAUUUUUUUUCACUAAAACUGUCGACUAAUACUGUAGUACAAUUACAUCGGGAUCGAAGUCGAGCUCGAAAUGCAAUUAAUUUAAACAACACACCGCGCCGAAAUUCAAGUUUUUUUUAGGUUCCACGCAGCCAUGUUGAACUUGAUCAUGAUGUUGUACAGAAGCUAAGUGCGAAAGAGGGUGUCGCGAAAAGGAGAAGUAUGAUUAGCUUUGGAUGGAACUUCUGUUUUGACAGAAGAUGAAGACAUUUUACGACCCUGUACUGCGGUAGGAACAAUGUACAAAAUUUUAUCAUGUGUCCUUGAAUGAAUGAUUAUCUUCUGCUACUGACAAUGCUACUGUUCCUUAGUCUGGGCACUACACAUAAAUUGCCUGACCGUAAAAACGUUUGAGCAAGCACUAUUUAAAUUUUGCAAUUAUUAUCUUUUAAACAUCUCUCAUAAAGAUGGAUUUUAACCAGAAUUUCCUCGUUUGGGAUUGGUUCAGGAAUUUUAGUGUUCCUCUGUUCAGCAUUUACAAAUUGCAGUGGACUGUGCCUGAGACGAUUCCCCACAGCGCCGGCGUAUAUAGUCAGCUUGUGAAAAUGGAAUCCGAAUACUCACAAGAAGGACAAAACCAGUAUGAAAAUUAGCACAAAGAAAUUGUGCCAGAAAUGUUUGAAGUAUCUAUUGGAAUGAUCUGACAACAUCGAACUUGCUGAGCCUUCCUUCUUAAAGUGACAUGACCAGAUAUUUGGCUACCCAGUUUGAGAUACGAACUAAUCAUUUGUUGUACGACUUGUUGUGUAUGAGAUUGCCACAUUUACUGGAACUUUAAACCCCAGCUAUCUACAGUUAUCUUUCUGCUAAAUGAAAUAAAAUAUUGUGGAGGAACACAGAGAAAAGGGCACCUCAACAUGUUCAAGGUCAAGCAGCUUUUUACCAUAUCCAUAGUAUCUUGCUGCUAAAUGAAAGAAUUAUUGUGGAGGAACAGAGAAAAGGGAUCUCAACAUGUUCAAGGUCAAGCAGG
Saccostrea cuccullata (small rock oyster) is the source of this 1352-nucleotide long non-coding RNA. RefSeq lists it as uncharacterized. The transcript is spliced from 6 exons. Lineage: Eukaryota; Metazoa; Mollusca; Bivalvia; Ostreida; Ostreidae. The record is from RefSeq and is a predicted model, not a curated record.